RNAcentral lists this ribosomal RNA (515 nucleotides) under uncultured bacterium. RNAcentral's name for it is "partial 16S ribosomal RNA". It matches the Rfam family "Bacterial small subunit ribosomal RNA", at positions 28 to 523 of the family's 1533-position model. The record is from RNAcentral.
GAUGAACGCUGGCGGCGUGCCUAAUACAUGCAAGUCGAGCGAAUGGAUUAAGAGCUUGCUCUUAUGAAGUUAGCGGCGGACGGGUGAGUAACACGUGGGUAACCUGCCCAUAAGACUGGGAUAACAGCGGGAAACCGGGGCUAAUACCGGAUAACAUUUUGAACCGCAUGGUUCGAUAUUGAUAGGCGGCUUCGGCUGUCACUUAUGGAUGGACCCGCGUCGCAUUAGCUAGUUGGUGAGGUAACGGCUCACCAAGGCAACGAUGCGUAGCCGACCUGAGAGGGUGAUCGGCCACACUGGGACUGAGACACGGCCCAGACUCCUACGGGAGGCAGAAGUAGGGAAUCUUCCGCGAUGGACGAAAGUCUGACGGAGCAACGCCGCGUGGGUGAUGAAGGCUUUCGGGUCGUAAAACUCUGUUGUUAGGGAAGAACAAGUGCUAGUUGAAUAAGCUGGCACCUUGACGGUACCUAACCAGAAAGCCACGGCUAACUACGUGCCAGCCGCCGCGGUAA